Long non-coding RNA from Ostrea edulis (European flat oyster), 1228 nucleotides. RefSeq lists it as uncharacterized. NCBI's taxonomy places the organism in Eukaryota, Metazoa, Mollusca, Bivalvia, Ostreida, Ostreidae. The transcript is spliced from 2 exons. The record is from RefSeq and is a predicted model, not a curated record.
AUUUUCAAUUGCUAAGUGCAGCUAUACAUAGAUAUAUUGUUUUAUCUUAUCCGAUCAUGAAAUACUUUGCUCCUGAAUGGUCUGAAAUUUCAGAAACUUUAUCAUUACAGAUAAAAAAUAUUUAAACGCUGUACAAGUUACCUGUAGGUAACCACGUGAUUAGCACACCGGUUAUCUAUGUAAAUUUUUAUGACAUGAAAUGUAAACAUCGUACUAGACGUAAUUGUUGCCCUGCAGAAUGAAAAAGAGAAAAGGGGAAGAAAAAGAACAAAAUGUCAACCUCCUGUGAAAGACAAACCAUAAAGAAUUGAGGUAGAGAACUAAAGAUUGACGCUGCAUCAUGAAUCCUUCCUGACAAAAAUGCGAGGGACUGAUAUAUUUUUAUUAGUUCUUGGAGUGGGACUUUUUCUGUUGAUUGCAGGACUGUGCUUGAGAAGUUGCAAUAAACAGAAGUGCAAGGAUUUUUGUUCAAUAUGGUGUGUGUGUGUUUUGUCAUUUCGAAAUUGUGCGUGGUGCCGACAAAGAAUCUCAUCCUUCUCACGUAGAUCAGGUGAUGCGGACACUCAGUCACGUGGACAAGGCAUCAGUACGGUUGGAGAAGAACAUCCUGGUUUAUACAAUGUUAGUUAUGAGCCUCCGUCCUAUGAAUCGGUGAUAGCCGAAGACAAGGACCCAGAAUUGCCAAGUUAUGAAGAAGCGCUUUCACAUGUUAAUAAUGUUAACGAUUCUUAAUGUGAGUGGACCUGUCAUCAGUUAUUUUGCUGUCUCAAAUGUGUAUAUAAUACAAGGAUUUAAAACUAAUAUUUGACGUUUAUAAGGAUGUUGACAAGUCACAAUGUAUUUUAUUAUUGUCAUCAUCGUUUGACAGUCCAAAUCAUUUCUUACAUGUUCUUUAUAGAUUUUUUGCGUUAAGUUCGUCAGAUUUGUGUAACAUAUGAUUGAAAAUAUUCAUGAUUUAAGCAUUAGUUUUCAAAGUAUCUCUGAGUGGCCAUUCAGUCAGUAUUGGAAAAUGACAAAACAAUAGUGAAAUUGCAGUAUUUACAAAUUAAGUAACAAAGUGUAGAUUAAUGAUAGAAAUGACAUCAUUAUGCUUAAAGAAAAUAAUUUUUCAAUAAUGUGGUUCCAAGCACUAAAUCGGUGCCUGUACAUGGCUUACGAAAAGUUUGCCAUGUGGGUUAUCUCAAUGAUUACAUAAUUGAAGGUUAACAAUAAAGUGCUUCAGAAACAC